This is a non-coding RNA of Nicotiana tabacum (common tobacco), 3940 nucleotides long. The record is from RefSeq and is a predicted model, not a curated record. Lineage: Eukaryota; Viridiplantae; Streptophyta; Magnoliopsida; Solanales; Solanaceae.
CUAACAUCUUUUUUUGUGCAUCAUGCAGUUGUAUGCUGUACAAUUUCACUUGUUCAUUACUUGUGUGCUUUUUCUUAGUCGAGAGGGCUUCAGGCGAGCAUGCAUGAGGGCUGACAUUUAUUGUGGCGGAUCAUCAAGGAGAGAAAAUGCAGCAAAACUGUUGAAAGUAGCAUGGAUGACCCUCCCUUUGGGAAUAAUUGUCACAUUUGCGGGAUGUCUUUUUGUUAUGUGGUGGCAAGAACUAAGUUACUCUAGUCAAUAUGCACAGGCUAUAUGGAUAAAUGGUUUUGCAUGUAUACUGGAGCUACUAGCCGAACCCUUUUACAUCUUAUCCCAGAAUUUACUUCUCCUUAAGUUGCGUCUGAUUGUUGAAAGUGCAGCUACCCUUUCACGAUGCAUAGCUACCUACAUCCUCAUUGUAAAGCUACCUGGCAUGGAGAAAGCAAUUGUAUUUGCCUUGUCACAAGUCGCAUUUGGAGCGUGUGUGUUCUUUGGCUACUGGGGCUACUUUCUUUUUUUUCACAUGUAUAGCAGUUCUGAGCUCUUCCCUUUUGGUGUAGGAAAUGGAGGCAUUGAUGAGCAACUUUCGAAAAUGUGUAUGUUGUUUACCUUUCAAUCUUGCCGCAAGUUGCUUCUUCAAGAAGGAGAAAAGAUGGUUCUUGUGUGGUUGGACACACCAUAUAACCAAGCAGUAUAUGGGCUUGUAGACAAACUAGGCAGCUUAGUGGUUAGGCUGGUAUUUCUCCCAUUUGAAGAAAGUUCAUAUGCUACAUUUGCAAGGUCUGCAUCAGGUAAAGACACGCAGAAGCAAAAGAAAUUGGGAAAAAGUUUGACUGAGGCUUUGAAACUUGUUUUACUAAUAGGUUUGGUUGUCAUGGCCUUUGGCCCUAGCUAUUCCUACUCUUUCGUCAGAUUGCUGUAUGGUCGCAAGUGGAGUGAUGGAGAAGCUUCAACAGCUCUACGAUACUAUUUCCUCUAUGUAAUUCUGUUGGCUAUGAAUGGAACAUCUGAAGCAUUUUUGCAUGCAGUCGCAAACGAGAUUCAACUCAAGCGCUCAAAUGAUUCCUUGCUUGUGUUUUCACUGAUUUACGUGGUGUUAAAUGUUUCUCUUAUACGUUCAGCUGGUGCAAUUGGGUUGAUUUUAGCAAAUUCUUUGAAUAUGGCUUUAAGGAUCACUUACUCAGCAAUAUUCAUCAGGAACUAUUUCCAGGGUUCGUCCUCAUUUUCCUUUCGUAGCUGCCUUCCCUCUGGUUGGACAUUUCUGCUUCUUUCUGGAGUAGUCACUCUAAUUUCAGAAAAGAUAUUUUUGGAUCGGGAUGACUUCUGGAAGACAUUCAGCGUUCACUUCAUAGUGGGCGUCACCAAUUUCAUGCUAGCAGCCUUUAUCAUCUAUCGUCGCGAGAGGAGCUUUAUCAACAAUAUCAUACGUUUCCGGGAGCAUGCUGACUGAAGAAGAAAAUCACACUGCACAUGAUGUCUCUCAAUGCCAGGUCAAGCAAGAACCUUAGUCAUCAGUUAUUUUAUGGAGAGAAGAUGGCAUUUAGCUCUUUGAUGCAUAUUGGCAAUUCUUUGUUGCAUUUAAAGUGAAAGUCAUAGUUUACUAGGUGUUUUCACUUUGUCGGGUUUCCACAUCAAAUCCAAGUGGUUUUGGCAUCUCAGAAUUGUAAUUGUUGAAAUCAAUUAUCUGAAUUUUCCAAUCGUAAAAGAAUGCGUACUUUCAGAUAAUGUUCGAUGAAGGGUGAGAAAUUAACUUAUUAAGAGACCACAUCUUUUUACCUAUUAAAAGACAACAAAAUUAUUAGCUGUUUAUAGAGACCACUGAUUAAUUUGUUUGGUUUACAAUGUUCUUUUUCUGCUUAUUUUCGAUUUCCAGAGGUGGGUUGUCUUAUUCUGGUCUUUGCUUUGGAUUUCACUUUUUUUGCAAGAAUAUCCUAGAUCAACCAGGAUCAAGAACAGAUGAUAAUAUAAAGUGAUAAAUCGUUGUGUUCCCAAGUACAUGAUACAUUGACAGCGUAGUGAUUUCCACAUAUUAAUUUCCCGUAUUUUAUAAAUUGGUCGAUUAUCUUAUGCAGUUCUUUUUGUUUCAUCUUUCUCCUGCAUUUGACACUCAUGUCACCUAAGUGAUGCAAGGGGCAAAAGGUAUCAUUCUUUCACUGCUUUCGCCUUUAUUCCUUUCUUUCAAACAUUAUUUGAUUGAAUUGGAGAACUGAUGCAGUGCAGUGGCAGUAAGAAUGGUGUCGUUACUAUGUUGUGCAUCUGUAGCAGUAUUGCCCUAUCUUUUCAUUGGUUUCCUUUUCCCUUUUUUACAAGGUAAAAUUAUGCAGUAUUAUUAGUGUGGCAUCUAAUAUGUAUACCGUGGUUUUUUGGGUAGAAAUAAAUUUAUUCAGGAGCUUUACUAUAACAUGACCUUAGAAGCCUUCUGUUCAGCAUUAAUAGAGGGAUUCAUAUAGUCAUCUUAUCAAUUCUGUUGUCCAGUGCUCGGAUGCUCGGAUUGCCUCCAACUGCAGUAAAACUUAUAAAAUCUUUGUUCCUAGUUUGGUUCCUCUUAAAGGAUAAAAUCUCAUUCCUGCUUUUUGCAACUCAUAAGUGAUCCUCAUAUAGAAAUCAAGUUUAACCAAAUAGAUAAGAGAUGUAUACAUAGGUCUUCAGCAGAGUGAUAGUCUAAGCCAUGGAAAAUAAGUUAUCAUAGAGGACUAUCAUGGUUGUAUGCGUUGUCUUCCAAUGUCUAUAUAAGUGACUAGUAAUGUAAAGAGUUUGGUAGUUAUAAGCAAUGAAAACUUGGGCAAAAAAGGUAGCCAAAGUGGGGAAAUGAAACCUAUGAUGAUUAAGUAGAGUAGGUCUUAAACAGGUAUUCUUAACAAGAAGGAAGAAAAGGUAGACAAAAAUUCAAACAUUCUUAAGCAAGAUGAUUAUCUUGUUUGUUUUUUGCUUGAAAGGUUGAACCCUUUAUUAGUACACCCCUCCCUUUGCUUCAAAUUGCAGAAAUUAGAUAUAUAGAUACCAAAGGUGUAAAUGUGUCUUAGGUUGUCUAAAUCGGUUUUUGGAGAUUAUGCAUUAUUUGGGGGUUGGGGAAGCAGUAGGCUGACCAACCAAUGUAAACUUCACUAAACAUAGUCGGUUCCAAAUUCAGAUAAAGGGUGAGAAUUGCAGUUAUGGCUAGCAUAAAUUGUCUAAUUAUAAAAUAAAAAAAUCUCUAAAUUCUGAAUAGAUCAUACAGAAGAUUAUAUUAACAACAACUAAUUUUGGAUAUACCUAUAUUUGAUUGAAAGAAGAGAAAACUGAAAGGUGGAGAGUAGCAAAAGUUGAAAAGAUGGGAAGUUUCUUAUGAGCCUUGUCAACAAUAAGUGCAAUGGCCCCAGGUUUGUAUCAUUGUUUCAUUGGUUUAAGCCAUACAAAGAUAACUCAGUUCACUCAAGUGUCGAUACAAAAUAGGGCGUGCGCGAAUUUUGGAACAUCUUUUGUGUUCGCCAUAUAUGUUGAGUUUUAACUAUUGUUCACUAUAUUUUCGGAUAGUUAAACUAAGUUUCUUUAAUUGUUUAUUGUUUAUUGAUUUUACUUAAGCUGAAAUUAUUAGUCCUAACUUGAUUAAACUAAGUUAUUGCUUGAUGCUACUUUGUUUCAUCUUUCCUGUGCCGAGGGUCUAUUGGAAACAUGCUCUCUAUCUUCUCAGGGUAGGGGUAAGGUCUGCGUACACACUACCCGCUCCAGACUCCACUUGUGGGAUCCGACGGGAUUUUAUGUUGUUGUUGUUGUUGUUUUAGGGGUUUGGGAUACAGUACAGUUUCCUAAACUAUUGCAUGCUAAACUAGGAAAAAUGUUUACCUGCAAUGCACAUUGUGGCAUGGGUUUGUUCAUUUUCCACUUAAUGAAUUUCAAGUCUCAGGUGUAGAGCUUUAACUUUCAACAUUUAUGAAAAUGCUAUCACUGUCAUUUUUUUGAA